UGGGGAAUAUUGGACAAUGGGGGGAACCCUGAUCCAGCCAUGCCGCGUGUGUGAAGAAGGCCUUAUGGUUGUAAAGCACUUUAAGCGAGGAGGAGGGUACUGGUAUUAAUACUACCAGCUACUGGACGUUACUCGCAGAAUAAGCACCGGCUAACUCUGUGCCAGCAGCCGCGGUAAUACAGAGGGUGCGAGCGUUAAUCGGAUUUACUGGGCGUAAAGCGUGCGUAGGUGGUUCGUUAAGUUGAAUGUGAAAGCCCCGGGCUCAACCUGGGAACUGCAUCCAAAACUGGCGAGCUAGAGUAGGGCAGAGGGUGGUGGAAUUUCCUGUGUAGCGGUGAAAUGCGUAGAUAUAGGAAGGAACACCAGUGGCGAAGGCGACCACCUGGGCUCAUACUGACACUGAGGUGCGAAAGCGUGGGGAGCAAACAGG
This 430-nucleotide ribosomal RNA is filed under the name Pseudomonadota bacterium. Its description in RNAcentral is "Proteobacteria bacterium partial 16S ribosomal RNA". It matches the Rfam family "Bacterial small subunit ribosomal RNA", at positions 355 to 776 of the family's 1533-position model. The record is from RNAcentral. Lineage: Bacteria; Pseudomonadati; Pseudomonadota.